UACGUAGGGUGCAAGCGUUGUCCGGAAUUAUUGGGCGUAAAGAGCUCGUAGGCGGUUUGUUGCGUCGGCUGUGAAAUCCCGAGGCUCAACCUCGGGUCUGCAGUCGAUACGAGCAAACUAGAGUGUUGCAGGGGAGACUGGAAUUCCUGGUGUAGCGGUGAAAUGCGCAGAUAUCAGGAAGAACACCGGUGGCGAAGGCGGCUCUCUGGACCGAUACUGACGCUGAGGCGCGAAAGCGUGGGGAGCAAACAGG
This 253-nucleotide ribosomal RNA is filed under the name uncultured bacterium. Its description in RNAcentral is "partial 16S ribosomal RNA". It matches the Rfam family "Bacterial small subunit ribosomal RNA", at positions 524 to 776 of the family's 1533-position model. The record is from RNAcentral.